UUUUGGAUAUAGACCCAAUCCUAAAAGCUUUGUCUCUAGAGCUAUUUGUAGAUACUGUAUUGAAUGUCCUAAAUCUAUUUACCCCUGCAAACCCAAAUGCAUAAAAAACCCUCAUCAACUACCUUAAAUCCCCUACAGCACCAAACAAAUGUUAAACACAGAGACUGAAAAAUCGGGCGGUAGAAACUCUAAACCACAUUUUCUACAGAGCAGUGGGGUUAAUAUAGAGCCCCCACAUCCCCAGGCUAGGGGAGGGGCCACGUCCUCACUAUAAUACGUGAUGCUGCAGACCACCAGACCCAAAAACAGACUGACAUAAAGUACAGAACUAGUGUCAGUCCUCAGAUCCUCUCAUCAUUUCACUCCUCGCCUGCGUGGUGGACCUUCAGAUAUUCUGGUCCAGUGUUUUGAGUGUGGGGCAGUUUUUAGAAUGAAGAUCUUCUUGGUGUGGUUUUGCCUUGUCCAGGCUGUGCUUAUGAUGCCAUCAGCACAGGAGAUCACCAACCUCAACUCAGAUAUGUGGAAUCAGGGAAAACCACGGACAUUGUUUGCCAGAAGAGGUGCCAUGGAGUAUCACAGACUACGAACAUCAGUAAGCUAUUUUAUAUAAGAAUAACAUUGAUCUGAUUCAUUGUAUGAUGUCAAUUAAAAAACUUUUCGUACCAUAUCAUAUACUGACAUGCCAAAAUACUGGUAUAACAGUAUGUAAAUUGAUCUUGAAGUGUUACCCUACAGGACAGCUUGAGAACACCCACUCCUGUAUUAAUUCCUGUAUUAAGUUGUGAGGUGUUAUCUUGUGAGUGAGGUUAAACACUGACCAGUGUGCUCAUUGCAAGGCAGUAUGAAUUUAAUGAGUAUGAGUGAGGUCUGAUAGUGGGUGACCAGUUGUUUGGUCAUUACCAUUCACAGUGGGCAGUGUAGUGGGUGGUAAUGUACGUGACUGGUGGCAUCUUGCUACAAAUACACAUUAUAUCCAUAUUUAAUGCAGGAGUCCCCUCAUGCAUAUCCCACACAUUAGUGCAGCAUUCUUAAGCUUACAUAGGACAUGCAAUAAUUUAUGGGACAUGAUACUAGUUCUUGUCCCACAAAAUAUGUCAUGUCAGUGUAAAACUAUAAAACUGUCUAAAACCUUUCCCAAAGCCGGCAGAGAAAGAUAGCAGUCACAUAUAUGGUUGAGAGCAGGAUUUAAGGGAAAAUAAACAACAUUCUAUAAGUGUGAACUACGAGUCG
This 1230-nucleotide long non-coding RNA is filed under the name Astyanax mexicanus (Mexican tetra). RNAcentral describes it as "lncRNA (ENSAMXG00005018663.1)". The record is from RNAcentral. Lineage: Eukaryota; Metazoa; Chordata; Actinopteri; Characiformes; Acestrorhamphidae.